RNAcentral lists this ribosomal RNA (497 nucleotides) under uncultured bacterium. Its description in RNAcentral is "partial 16S ribosomal RNA". It matches the Rfam family "Bacterial small subunit ribosomal RNA", at positions 28 to 507 of the family's 1533-position model. The record is from RNAcentral.
GAUGAACGCUGGCGGCGUGCCUAAUACAUGCCAGUCGAGCGAACAGACGAGGAGCUUGCUCCUCUGACGUUAGCGGCGGACGGGUGAGUAACACGUGGAUAACCUACCUAUAAGACUGGGAUAACUUCGGGAAACCGGAGCUAAUACCGGAUAAUAUAUUGAACCGCAUGGUUCAAUAGUGAAAGACGGUUUUGCUGUCACUUAUAGAUGGAUCCGCGCCGCAUUAGCUAGUUGGUAAGGUAACGGCUUACCAAGGCAACGAUGCGUAGCCGACCUGAGGGGGUGAUCGGCCACACUGGAACUGAGACACGGUCCAGACUCCUACGGGAGGCAGCAGUAGGGAAUCUUCCGCAAUGGGCGAAAGCCUGACGGAGCAACGCCGCGUGAGUGAUGAAGGUCUUCGGAUCGUAAAACUCUGUUAUUAGGGAAGAACAAAUGUGUAAGUAACUAUGCACGUCUUGACGGUACCUAAUCAGAAAGCCACGGCUAACUACGUG